Molecule: ribosomal RNA, 995 nt
Filed under: uncultured bacterium
Lineage: Bacteria
Description: bacterial SSU rRNA
Rfam family: Bacterial small subunit ribosomal RNA
Source: RNAcentral
UGGGGAAUAUUGCACAAUGGGGGGAACCCUGAUGCAGCGACCCCCCGUGGAGGAAGAAGGUCUUCCGAUUGUAAACUCCUGUUGUUGAGGAAGAUAAUGACGGUACUCAACAAGGAAGUGACGGCUAACUACGUGCCAGCAGCCGCGGUAAAACGUAGGUCACAAGCGUUGUCCGGAAUUACUGGGUGUAAAGGGAGCGCAGGCGGGAAGACAAGUUGGAAGUGAAAUCUAUGGGCUCAACCCAUAAACUGCUUUCAAAACUGUUUUUCUUGAGUAGUGCAGAGGUAGGCGGAAUUCCCGGUGUAGCGGUGGAAUGCGUAGAUAUCGGGAGGAACACCAGUGGCGAAGGCGGCCUACUGGGCACCAACUGACGCUGAGGCUCGAAAGUGUGGGUAGCAAACAGGAUUAGAUACCCUGGUAGUCCACACCGUAAACGAUGAUUACUAGGUGUUGGAGGAUUGACCCCUUCAGUGCCGCAGUUAACACAAUAAGUAAUCCACCUGGGGAGUACGACCGCAAGGUUGAAACUCAAAGGAAUUGACGGGGGCCCGCACAAGCAGUGGAGUAUGUGGUUUAAUUCGACGCAACGCGAAGAACCUUACCAAGUCUUGACAUCCUGCGACGGACAUAGAAAUAUGUCUUUCCUUCGGGACGCAGAGACAGGUGGUGCAUGGUUGUCGUCAGCUCGUGUCGUGAGAUGUUGGGUUAAGUCCCGCAACGAGCGCAACCCUUACUGUCAGUUACUACGCAAGAGGACUCUGGCAGGACUGCCGUUGACAAAACGGAGGAAGGUGGGGAUGACGUCAAAUCAUCAUGCCCUUUAUGACUUGGGCUACACACGUACUACAAUGGCGUUAAACAAAGAGAAGCAAGACCGCGAGGUGGAGCAAAACUCAGAAACAACGUCCCAGUUCGGACUGCAGGCUGCAACUCGCCUGCACGAAGUCGGAAUUGCUAGUAAUCGUGGAUCAGCAUGCCACGGUGAAUACGUUCCC